Molecule: ribosomal RNA, 450 nt
Filed under: uncultured bacterium
Lineage: Bacteria
Description: bacterial SSU rRNA
Rfam family: Bacterial small subunit ribosomal RNA
Source: RNAcentral
UCGAGCGGAUGACGGGAGCUUGCUCCUUGAUUCAGCGGCGGACGGGUGAGUAAUGCCUAGGAAUCUGCCUGGUAGUGGGGGACAACGUUUCGAAAGGAACGCUAAUACCGCAUACGUCCUACGGGAGAAAGCAGGGGACCUUUGGGCCUUGCGCUAUCAGAUGAGCCUAGGUCGGAUUAGCUAGUUGGUGGGGUAAUGGCUCACCAAGGCGACGAUCCGUAACUGGUCUGAGAGGAUGAUCAGUCACACUGGAACUGAGACACGGUCCAGACUCCUACGGGAGGCAGCAGUGGGGAAUAUUGGACAAUGGGCGAAAGCCUGGUCCAGCCAUGCCGCGUGUGUGAAGAAGGUCUUCGGAUUGUAGAGCACUUUAAGUUGGGAGGAAGGGCAGUAAGUUAAUACCUUGCUGUUUUGACGUUACCGACAGAAUAAGCACCCGGCUACUCUGUG